This 809-nucleotide long non-coding RNA is filed under the name Daucus carota (carrot). RNAcentral's name for it is "long non-coding RNA (DCAR_LNC002874)". Lineage: Eukaryota; Viridiplantae; Streptophyta; Magnoliopsida; Apiales; Apiaceae. The record is from RNAcentral.
UUAAUUGUAGGAAAUUAAACUUGAGGGACCAAAAUGUAAAGUUUGCUGAAGCAACUUUGAUGACCCUACAUGACUGUGUAAAACUUGAUGACCAAGUUUGUUAACUUGCUGAGAAAGACUCAGGCCCUUACAAAUACUCAUCCCUUUUCUUUCUUGGGACUUAACUUUACUCAACACUCACUCCUCAAAGCUUGCUCACUCUGCUAUUCCCUCUGUUUUAGCUCUGUUUUGAUUCAACAGAUUCUUUUUCUUACUGAAAUGAAAAUGAAGGCCAGCGCUCUGAAAUGCCGAAAACAAGAGUGUUCACCAAGGAGAGGCCAGAUCAAGAAAAAGAUAUAUAAGAUGAUCUUAAAACACACUCUUACUGUCGUGCUUCGCGAUAUCGGUUUUGUCUUGAAGAAAAAGAAGGGUAGCUUGAAAGGCUAUUAGCUUGAAUUGUUAAACACCAGAUGAGAAUCCAGUUUUGUGAUUUGUUUCAUCAACUUGUUGUAUGUUGUGUACUUGUGCUGUGGCGUCUCUCUAAUGUUGUAUGUAGGUUUCUCUCUGACUCAGAGUCUCAGAGUGAUAGAAGUGAGUUACGUGUCUUUUUCCACAGCAACAUCUUAUUUCAUUGUCAAUAUUGUGUUCAAAUUUUGAGUUGGUCGAUUGGAAUUUCAAAUUAUCUUUAAAAUAUUGGAGGUUAUUUUAUUACUAGGAUUUAGUUAAAGUGAUUUUCUAUAUAGUGUGCCCAAGGGCACACAAUAGUCCCUAACGCCAACAAAAAUAGCUCUUUUUGAUUGGUGGAUAAAUAAUAAAUGAUAAUGACCCCC